AUACGGAGGGUGCAAGCGUUACUCGGAAUCACUGGGCGUAAAGCGCGCGCAGGCGGUCUUUUAAGUUGGAUGUGAAAGCCUACGGCUCAACCGUAGAACUGCAUCCAAAACUAUUAGACUAGAGUGUGGGAGAGGAAGAUGGAAUUAGUUGUGUAGGGGUAAAAUCCGUAGAGAUAACUAGGAAUACCAAAAGCGAAGGCAAUCUUCUGGAACACUACUGACGCUAAGGCGUGAAAGCGUGGAGAGCAAACAGGAUUAGAAACCCCAGUAGUCC
Molecule: ribosomal RNA, 274 nt
Filed under: uncultured bacterium
Lineage: Bacteria
Description: partial 16S ribosomal RNA
Rfam family: Bacterial small subunit ribosomal RNA
Source: RNAcentral